UUUUAGCUCAGCAGGUAGAGCAGCAGGCUUUUAAUCUGAAGGCCGUGGGUUCGAGCCCCUCAAGG
RNAcentral lists this transfer RNA (65 nucleotides) under human gut metagenome. It matches the Rfam family "tRNA", at positions 6 to 65 of the family's 71-position model. From Rfam's summary of the family: Transfer RNA (tRNA) molecules are approximately 80 nucleotides in length. The record is from RNAcentral.